RNAcentral lists this ribosomal RNA (483 nucleotides) under uncultured bacterium. Its description in RNAcentral is "partial 16S ribosomal RNA". It matches the Rfam family "Bacterial small subunit ribosomal RNA", at positions 28 to 523 of the family's 1533-position model. The record is from RNAcentral.
GACGAACGCUGGCGGCGUGCUUAACACAUGCAAGUCGAACGAUGAAGCUGGAGCUUGCUCCGGUGGAUUAGUGGCGAACGGGUGAGUAACACGUGCGCAAUCUGUCCUUCACUCUGGGAUAACUGCGGGAAACCGUAGCAAAUACCGGAUCCGAUGCUUGGAGGCAUCUCCAGGACUGGAAAGAAUUUCGGUGAAGGAUGAGCUCGCGGCCUAUCAGCUUGUUGGUGAGGUAAUGGCUCACCAAGGCGACGACGGGUAGCCGGCCUGAGAGGGGGACCGGCCACACUGGGACGGAGACACGGCCCAGACUCCUACGGGAGGCAGCAGUGGGGAAUAUUGCACAAUGGGCGAAAGCCUGAUGCAGCAACGCCGCGUGAGGGAUGAAGGCCUUCGGGUUGUAAACCUCUUUUAGCAGGGAAGAAGCGAAAGUGACGGUACCUACAGAAAAAGCACCGGCUAACUACGUGCCAGCCGCCGCCGUAA